Camelus dromedarius (Arabian camel) is the source of this 3438-nucleotide long non-coding RNA. RefSeq lists it as uncharacterized. Lineage: Eukaryota; Metazoa; Chordata; Mammalia; Artiodactyla; Camelidae. The record is from RefSeq and is a predicted model, not a curated record. The transcript has 2 exons.
ACGCGGGGAUGAAAGCAAGCAAGGCGCGGGGUCUCCCCGAGAGCAGGCAGGGGACUGGCAAGUGGGCCCCUGAACCUCGUGAGACACCCCCCCGAGCUUGACUGGGGGCUGAAACGGUGCCUGGACCCCUCGAAACCUGCAGGACAUCAGAGGCUGGGGCCUGGCAGGGGGCAGGCAGGAAGCUGGUGCCUGGAGGCUGGCUUCUCUUUCCGCAUGACCUUGGGGCGAGGCACCUCCUGCAGCUCCGUGCGUGUGCUUUUAUAACAUUUCUCAGCGCCAGGUCAGCCCCCUGCCGCUCCCUGUCCAAGAUGGAGCCUGAGAAAUUGUCCCCAGGUCAGAACCGAGCCCCGAAAGGGAGAAGUGACUGAUUCAAGGCCUCAGAGCCAGGCUGCAGACUCAGUUUCCCUGUCCGUGGUGCUGAGGACACCAGGGCCUAGAGACUCGGGGCGGCCAGGGCGGCAUCCGCGGCCGCUCUGAACACUGGCCAAAGACUGGAACGUCCAGGAGAGCAGAGACCUUGAGUGUCCUGUUUGCUGCGUGCCCAGCAAGGCCUGAUGUCUGUAGAUGCUCAGAAGUAUUCACUGAAUGAACAAAGUCCUGGCUCAGCAUUUACUAACUGUAUGGCUUGGGGUUGAGCCUCAGUGUCCUCUGCUGUAAAAUACAGAUUAUAACCCCUGGGGCACAGGGUUGUCAUGAGGGGUGAGAGGAUGCAUGCGAAGUGGUUGGGAAACACCCCCCCGCCCCCCACCCCCCACCACUGUAUUGCUGUUCCAUGCAUUGCGCUGCAUGGCUUGGCUUCUCUGCCAGCAGCUGGCAUUCAGGGAUGAAUAGUGCACACACCUGUAGCAACUCAGUCUCGGAAGACAGUGUUGUGUAAGAAAAAAAUUCAGACUAGAAUGUACAUUCUGAUCGCCAAAAAGUGAUCAUUUGUGCACAUGUGGAUGAGGCUUGGAGAGAAAUUGGCUAUGACAGGCACUGGAGAGUGCAUUCCAAUUAUGGAAUCUGUUCUCCGAGGACAUCAAAAAACAUUUUCCAAAAGCUCUUUGAUGCUGAAUUCUGAAAGCAGACACGGUGUGGGUGAUGGGCCUAAGGAGGGAUGUGGGGAGAGAUCGAGCGGGAGGUCCCUGUCCAGUCUCUGGCCUUCCUACAGACUGGUUCCCCUAAUCUGACCUGCGGGGCCUGGUAGGGGAGUCGUCAGGGCCACUGGGCAGAACAGAGGGGUCCUCUCUUGGGCCCCAGCCCUGCCACCAGCUUCAGCUGCAAGGCCUGUUCCUAGGAAGGGCUUUGUGAGUCUGCCUCCCUUCAAAGCGAAGGGCCGCUUGUCAAGCCCUCGGUAGGAGCAGGCCCUUUACUUGUAGCUCAGCACUUGUGAAUUUUCCCUGCCAGCAGUGAGGUGGGUGUAAUCAGCACCUAACAGUAAGAAGGCUGAGCUUCACUAGGAAGUGAAACUAUUUGUCCAAGGCAGGUAGCAAGAAGGACAGUACCCAAGGACCCACCCAGGACUCCUCUCUGAAUGUGGGGGAGCCCCAUUCUUCUGCACCAAAAUCACCUUUGACACAGGAGGUCCUAGGCACUUGGCAUAAUGCAAGUUCCCCAGAGGACUGGAGAAACAGAGCUGGGCUGGGCUCACCGCCUGCUCCCAGGCUGUACUUGGGACCAGACAUCCCAAAUUCAGUUCUGACCCUUAAAAUAUUGAUGUAAGCGCAAAGAGGCCGAUGGGCUGAAAUCCUGCAUGCUCAAGAUUGGGUUACAGCCCCCACCAGCAGUGUAAUGUGGAACAGGGCUUCUCACUGAGUGCCUGGGUUUGGCCCCAGGCCAGGAUGCUCAUCAGCUGGAGAAAGCCAGCAGCUUCCUAGAGGUCUCCAAGGCCAAGCACGACCUUUCUCAGAGGCGCCCUUCUACCAUACCCCUAGCCCCAGCACUUCAGGGCCACAGGCAGGACCUAGAGCCCAGAGUUUAAUGAAAGCAGUGAGUUGUAUACCCACAUGUCUUGUGGGUGGGACAGGCCCUCGCCACAUUCCCCAUGUGUAGCAUCUUUGGAGCUUAUGCCUCCACCAGCUGUGUGGCCUUGGGCAAGUUACCUACCCCUCUAAGCCAGACAGAGAUCAUUAUUCCUACCCUACAAGGUUGCUGGGGAAAUCGCGGGAGCCAGCCGGAAAAGGGUGGGCUCAAGUUCAGGGCCCCACAAAGGGUAGCUGCGCCUUUCUAUUGAUUGUUAGCUGGAUUCCCAGAGGCUGGCAGAGAGCAGUCAUUACUGGUUGUUAGUAAGCGUGGCCCUGCAGCACGGGGCGGGGGUGGGGGUGAAGCAAGAGCAAAGCCUGCAGGAGGUCUGGCAAUUGGCAAAGCAGGAGGGCCCCCCAGAGGCCUACCAGGGCCUGGGGCCACUUCCAUUCUUUGAGGCUUCUAGCACUUUCAAAAAUGAAGAAACACAGGCAUUACUUGUUUUAUUACACCUCGUAGAUACUGCAUUUUUUCCCAAAUUGAAGGCUUGUGGCAACCCUGCAUUGAAUAAGCCUAUUGGUAGCAUUUUUCCAACAGCAUUUGCUCACUUCAUGCCUUUGUCACAUUUUGGUAAUCUUGGCAAUAUUUUCAUCUUUUUAUUAUUAUUAUUAUUAUAUUCAUUUUUGUGGACAAAAAAAUAUUGUUACGGACAUGACAGGCCAGCCAAGAAACAAGCACCACUCGGAGGGUUGGAGUACUCAGAUUUAUUACGCCGGGGGGCUCAGAGGGGCUUCUGCUCCGAAGCUCUGAGCACCUCCAAGACGUGCACAUGAGGUUUUAUAAGGUUAAUUACAAGUAUGGGGCUAUUAGCCAAUAAGGUUCAAACAACAAAAAGCUAGGAAUCAGUACACUGGAGCUUAUCAAUUUGGAACAGAUCACGUUACUGACACUUGUUGAGCUUGGAUUUACGAGUUAGCUUGUUAGCCCAGUAAACUGACACUAAACUUUAGAUUUACGAGUUAGCCCGGCAGAACUUAGAUCAGUAAACCGACACUUAUCACACUUAGAUUUGUGACUUAGCUCGUUAGCCCAGCUGGGCUUUUCCUUCACAAUAUUGCCUGGCAUUUCAGUAAACAGCGAAUGUUGCCCGCCACCAAGCCAUCAGCCACUGCACCCAGAGGGGAAUUCAGCAAGGAGAGAAACAAGAUAAUGGCCCUGGACAAGAUGCACAGCAAAGGAGUGAUUUCAAUAAGCCCAGACUCUUGCAUCUUCCCAUGCAGAGAAAAGCACUAAAAUCAUUAACUUGAGGUGUCUGGGUUUUGUGAUUAGCAGUCAUCUUUUGAUGUUCAACUACAAGUUUGUUUGUUUUCCUGCAAAAACUCUUGUAUAUCCUGGCUCCUCCGUCUUGGGAACAGUUCCUCAGAGUUAUCUGAGAGGCUGUUUGUCGGGCGGGCUCUAGUCCUCAAUAAGUUCCCCAAAUAAAACCUAACUCUCCAA